UUGAUUGUAUUACAUAAUUGAUUAGAUUGCAUUACAUUACGCUCUAGUAAAUGUAACCUUAAGUUCUAUCAUAUGGAAGAAUGAAGUUUUAAAUGAGGAUGCAACUCAUAGGAUCAAUAUAGAAUGGAUGAAAGGAAGGAGUGUAACGGGUGUAUUAUGUGAUCAAAAGAUCCCUAACAAAGGUAAGUUCUAUAGGACUAUGUUAAGAUCAACUAUAUUGUAUGGGAGACAUCUAAGAUACAACAUAUCCACAAGAUGAAUG
RNAcentral lists this unclassified non-coding RNA (262 nucleotides) under Hevea brasiliensis (rubber tree). The record is from RNAcentral. Lineage: Eukaryota; Viridiplantae; Streptophyta; Magnoliopsida; Malpighiales; Euphorbiaceae.